This 497-nucleotide ribosomal RNA is filed under the name uncultured bacterium. Its description in RNAcentral is "partial 16S ribosomal RNA". It matches the Rfam family "Bacterial small subunit ribosomal RNA", at positions 28 to 507 of the family's 1533-position model. The record is from RNAcentral.
GAUGAGCGCUGGCGGCGUGCCUAAUACAUGCAAGUCGAGCGAACGGACGAGAAGCUUGCUUCUCUGAUGUUAGCGGCGGACGGGUGAGUAACACGUGGAUAACCUACCUAUAAGACUGGGAUAACUUCGGGAAACCGGAGCUAAUACCGGAUAAUAUUUUGAACCGCAUGGUUCAAAAGUGAAAGACGGUCUUGCUGUCACUUAUAGAUGGAUCCGCGCUGCAUUAGCUAGUUGGUAAGGUAACGGCUUACCAAGGCAACGAUGCAUAGCCGACCUGAGAGGGUGAUCGGCCACACUGGAACUGGGACACGGUCCAGACUCCUACGGGAGGCAGCAGUAGGGAAUCUUCCGCAAUGGGCGAAAGCCUGACGGAGCAACGCCGCGUGAGUGAUGAAGGUCUUCGGAUCGUAAAACUCUGUUAUUAGGGAAGAACAUAUGUGUAAGUAACUGUGCACAUCUUGACGGUACCUAAUCAGAAAGCCACGGCUAACUACGUG